GAUGAACGCUAGCGGCAGGCCUAAUACAUGCAAGUCGGACGGGAUUCAGGAGCUUGCUUCUGAUGAGAGUGGCGCACGGGUGCGUAACACGUAUGUAACCUACCUUUAUCAGGGGGAUAGCCUCUCGAAAGAGAGAUUAAGCCCGCAUAAAAUCACAGCACAGCAUUGUGUAAUGAUCAAAUAUUUAUAGGAUAAAGAUGGGCAUGCGGAACAUUAGCUAGAUGGCGGGGUAACGGCCCACCAUGGCGACGAUGUUUAGGGGAUCUGAGAGGAUGGCCCCCCACACUGGUACUGAGACACGGACCAGACUCCUACGGGAGGCAGCAGUAAGGAAUAUUGGGCAAUGGGCGGAAGCCUGAACCAGCCAUGCCGCGUACAGGAAGACGGCCCUACGGGUUGUAAACUGCUUUUAUACGGGAAUAAACCCAGAUACGUGUAUCUGGCUGAAUGUACUGGAAGAAUAAGGAUCGGCUAACCCCGUG
Molecule: ribosomal RNA, 482 nt
Filed under: uncultured bacterium
Lineage: Bacteria
Description: partial 16S ribosomal RNA
Rfam family: Bacterial small subunit ribosomal RNA
Source: RNAcentral